This 253-nucleotide ribosomal RNA is filed under the name uncultured bacterium. RNAcentral's name for it is "partial 16S ribosomal RNA". It matches the Rfam family "Bacterial small subunit ribosomal RNA", at positions 524 to 776 of the family's 1533-position model. The record is from RNAcentral.
UACGGAGGGUGCAAGCGUUGUCCGGAUUUAUUGGGUUUAAAGGGUGCGUAGGCGGUUCUUUAAGUCCGGGGUGAAAGCCCACUGCUCAACAGUGGAACUGCCCUGGAAACUGGCGAACUUGAGUACAGACGAGGGUGGCGGAAUGGAUGGUGUAGCGGUGAAAUGCAUAGAUACCAUCCAGAACCCCGAUUGCGAAGGCAGCUUACUAUGGUUUUAUUGACACUGAGGCACGAAAGCGUGGGGAUCAAACAGG